AACUGAGUGGCUGUGAAAGGGUGGGGUUUGCUCAGACUGUCCUUCCUCUCUGGACUGUAAGAAUAUGUCUCCAGGGCCAGUGUCUGCUGCGAUCGAGUCCCACCUUCCAAGUCCUGGCAUCUCAAUGCAUCUGGGAAGCUACCUGCAUUAAGUCAGGACUGAGAAAGCAGAUGAGCGUCCCACUUUCAAAAUUCUUCUGAGCAAUAUUCUAGAUGUCAUGGAUGAAGAAUCCUGAGCUCGCCAAUAAGCUUCUUGGUUCUACUUCUCUUCUCCACAAGCCCCAAUUUCACUUUCUCAGAGGAAAUCCCAAGCUUAGGAGCCCUGGAGCCUUUGUGCUCCCACUCAAUACAAAAAGGCCCCUCUCUACAUCUGGGAAUGCACCUCUUCUUUGAUUCCCUGGGAUAGUGGCUUCUGAGCAAAGGCCAAGAAAUUAUUGUGCCUGAAAUUUCCCGAGAGAAUUAAGACAGACUGAAUUUGCGAUGAAAAUAUUUUUUAGGAGGGAGGAUGUAAAUAGCCGCACAAAGGGGUCCAACAGCUCUUUGAGUAGGCAUUUGGUAGAGCUUGGGGGUGUGUGUGUGGGGGUGGACCGAAUUUGGCAAGAAUGAAAUGGUGUCAUAAAGAUGGGAGGGGAGGGUGUUUUGAUAAAAUAAAAUUACUAGAAAGCUUGAAAGUC
RNAcentral lists this long non-coding RNA (673 nucleotides) under Homo sapiens (human). Its description in RNAcentral is "non-protein coding lnc-BTK-1:1". The record is from RNAcentral. Lineage: Eukaryota; Metazoa; Chordata; Mammalia; Primates; Hominidae.